CCUACGGGAGGCAGCAGUGAGGAAUAUUGGUCAAUGGGCGUAAGCCUGAACCAGCCAAGUCGCGUGAGGGAUGAAGGUUCUAUGGAUCGUAAACCUCUUUUAUAAGGGAAUAAAGUGCGGGACGUGUCCCGUUUUGUAUGUACCUUAUGAAUAAGGAUCGGCUAACUCCGUGCCAGCAGCCGCGGUAAUACGGAGGAUCCGAGCGUUAUCCGGAUUUAUUGGGUUUAAAGGGUGCGUAGGCGGCCUUUUAAGUCAGCGGUGAAAGUUUGUGGCUCAACCAUAGAAUUGCCGUUGAAACUGGGAGGCUUGAGUAUGUUUGAGGCAGGCGGAAUGCGUGGUGUAGCGGUGAAAUGCUUAGAUAUCACGCAGAACCCCGAUUGUGAAGGCAGCUUGCCAAGCCAUGACUGACGCUGAUGCACGAAAGCGUGGGGAUCAAACAGGAUUAGAUACCCGGGUAGUC
RNAcentral lists this ribosomal RNA (460 nucleotides) under uncultured bacterium. Its description in RNAcentral is "partial 16S ribosomal RNA". It matches the Rfam family "Bacterial small subunit ribosomal RNA", at positions 338 to 795 of the family's 1533-position model. The record is from RNAcentral.